Molecule: small nucleolar RNA, 137 nt
Organism: Tachyglossus aculeatus (Australian echidna)
Lineage: Eukaryota; Metazoa; Chordata; Mammalia; Monotremata; Tachyglossidae
Source: RefSeq, a predicted model, not a curated record
AUCCCCUCAGGAUCACAUCUGGAGAGUUUCCAGUACUCAACCAGUCUAGGUAUGUGAGGGAGAGUCAAGCAGAGGCUUAUCCAUUCCAUUCCUGGUUUGGGCAGUGUCUAGCAAGUGGAAGACAUUCUGCUACAAGU